This 59-nucleotide microRNA precursor is filed under the name Tribolium castaneum (red flour beetle). RNAcentral's name for it is "microRNA tca-mir-3836j precursor". The record is from miRBase by way of RNAcentral. Lineage: Eukaryota; Metazoa; Arthropoda; Insecta; Coleoptera; Tenebrionidae.
GGCCUCUCCUUGCUUUGGUUGAUAUUUAUUUAAUUAUCACUGGGCAAAGUAGACCCUGC